This 497-nucleotide ribosomal RNA is filed under the name uncultured bacterium. RNAcentral describes it as "partial 16S ribosomal RNA". It matches the Rfam family "Bacterial small subunit ribosomal RNA", at positions 28 to 507 of the family's 1533-position model. The record is from RNAcentral.
GAUGAACGCUGGCGGCGUGCCUAAUACAUGCAAGUCGAGCGAACAGAUGAGGAGCUUGCUCCUCUGACGUUAGCGGCGGACGGGUGAGUAACACGUGGAUAACCUACCUAUAAGACUGGGAUAACUUCGGGAAACCGGAGCUAAUACCGGAUAAUAUAUUGAACCGCAUGGUUCAAUAGUUAAAGACGGUUUUGCUGUCACUUAUAGAUGGAUCCUCGCCGCAUUAGCUAGUUGGUAAGGUAACGGCUUACCAAGGCAACGAUGCGUAGCCGACCUGAGAGGGUGAUAGGCCACACUGGAACUGAGACACGGUCCAGACUCCUACGGGAGGCAGCAGUAGGGAAUCUUCCGCAAUGGGCGAAAGCAUGACGGAGCAACGCCGCGUGAGUGAUGAAGGUCUUCGGAUCGUAAAACUCUGUUAUUAGGGAAGAACAAAUGUGUAAGUAACUAUGCACGUCUUGACGGUACCUAAUCAGAAAGCCACGGCUAACUACGUG